This is a small nucleolar RNA of Pistacia vera, 105 nucleotides long. The record is from RefSeq and is a predicted model, not a curated record. NCBI's taxonomy places the organism in Eukaryota, Viridiplantae, Streptophyta, Magnoliopsida, Sapindales, Anacardiaceae.
AUCUAUGAUGUGGACAUUGAACCAACAAUAAUUUAAAAUGCUCCCAAGCCUCAUGGAACGACUCACCUUCCAUUUGUGAGAAAGUAGCGAUCUUACCUCUAAACU